GAUGAACGCUGGCGGCGUGCCUAAUACAUGCAAGUCGAGCGAACGGACGAGAAGCUUGCUUCUCUGAUGUUAGCGGCGGACGGGGGAGUAACACGUGGAUAACCUACCUAUAAGACUGGGAUAACUUCGGGAAACCGGAGCUAAUACCGGAUAAUAUUUUGAACCGCAUGGUUCAAAAGUGAAAGACGGUCUUGCUGUCACUUAUAGAUGGAUCCGCGCUGCAUUAGCUAGUUGGUAAGUUAACGGCUUACCAAGGCAACGAUGCAUAGCCGACCUGAGAGGGUGAUCGGCCACACUGGAACUGAGACACGGUCCAGACUCCUACGGGAGGCAGCAGUAGGGAAUCUUCCGCAAUGGGCGAAAGCCUGACGGAGCAACGCCGCGUGAGUGAUGAAGGUCUUCGGAUCGUAAAACUCUGUUAUUAGGGAAGAACAUAUGUGUAAGUAACUGUGCACAUCUUGACGGUACCUAAUCAGAAAGCCACGGCUAACUCCGUG
RNAcentral lists this ribosomal RNA (497 nucleotides) under uncultured bacterium. Its description in RNAcentral is "partial 16S ribosomal RNA". It matches the Rfam family "Bacterial small subunit ribosomal RNA", at positions 28 to 507 of the family's 1533-position model. The record is from RNAcentral.